This 493-nucleotide ribosomal RNA is filed under the name uncultured bacterium. Its description in RNAcentral is "partial 16S ribosomal RNA". It matches the Rfam family "Bacterial small subunit ribosomal RNA", at positions 27 to 507 of the family's 1533-position model. The record is from RNAcentral.
GAGUGAACGCUGGCGGUAGGCCAAACACAUGCAAGUCGAACGGCAGCACAGUAAGAGCUUGCUCUUACGGGUGGCGAGUGGCGGACGGGUGAGGAAUACAUCGGAAUCUACUUUUUCGUGGGGGAUAACGUAGGGAAACUUACGCUAAUACCGCAUACGACCUACGGGUGAAAGCAGGGGAUCUUCGGACCUUGCGCGAUUGAAUGAGCCGAUGUCGGAUUAGCUAGUUGGCGGGGUAAAGGCCCACCAAGGCGACGAUCCGUAGCUGGUCUGAGAGGAUGAUCGGCCACACUGGAACUGAGACACGGUCCAGACUCCUACGGGAGGCAGCAGUGGGGAAUAUUGGACAAUGGGCGCAAGCCUGAUCCAGCCAUACCGCGUGAGUGAAGAAGGCCUUCGGGUUGUAAAGCCCUUUUGUUGGGAAAGAAAAGCAGCAGGUUAAUACCCCGCUGUUCUGACGGUACCCAAAGAAUAAGCACCGGCUAACUUCGUG